CGGGACGUGGCGUAGUCCGGUAGCGCACUCGGCUGGGGGCCGAGGGGUCGCAGGUUCAAAUCCUGUCGUCCCGACCA
Molecule: transfer RNA, 77 nt
Filed under: bacterium
Lineage: Bacteria
Also listed under: 1 other name
Description: tRNA-Pro
Rfam family: tRNA
About the family: Transfer RNA (tRNA) molecules are approximately 80 nucleotides in length. Their secondary structure includes four short double-helical elements and three loops (D, anti-codon, and T loops).
Source: RNAcentral